Molecule: unclassified non-coding RNA, 238 nt
Filed under: Hevea brasiliensis (rubber tree)
Lineage: Eukaryota; Viridiplantae; Streptophyta; Magnoliopsida; Malpighiales; Euphorbiaceae
Source: RNAcentral
GUCACCACGUUCCAGAUUGCUGUCUUUCAUUAAUGUAUUCUAUAUUUAAAUAUGUAAUUCUACACAUUAGCUGCUGAUAUGUCCUGAUCACUUGUGGAUUUUCAUGAGUUUAUCAUGUUUAUUGGCAGGCUGAACAAGCAUGCCCAUAUUUGUUAUGCAAUCUUUGAAAAUUAAGAACAUUUUAUUUGGACCCAUAUUUGUUAUGCAAUCUUUGAAAAUUAAGAACAUUUUAUUUGGA